RNAcentral lists this small RNA (168 nucleotides) under Chrysemys picta bellii (western painted turtle). RNAcentral describes it as "TUC338 (ENSCPBG00000017096.1)". The record is from RNAcentral. Lineage: Eukaryota; Metazoa; Chordata; Testudines; Emydidae.
AUGACAGUACUGGAAACUGAAAUCCUCUUUCUCCAAAGAACAGGUACAGCACAGGCGGUAGCAGUGCAGGCCUUCCCCACGCUGCCUCAUCAAUUUAUCUCAGCCCAGGCCUAGAGAGACCACCUCUAGGGAAGUUCAGUCUCUUUUCUCGCUCACUGUUAGGCUUCU